Molecule: long non-coding RNA, 1466 nt
Filed under: Prunus dulcis (almond)
Lineage: Eukaryota; Viridiplantae; Streptophyta; Magnoliopsida; Rosales; Rosaceae
Description: sRNA ncRNA
Source: RNAcentral
CUUAAACUCACAGCUUUUCUUUUCUCCGGGUCAAACCAGGUACCUCCAAGCCAUUUCCAGCUCAGGGCUGACCGACCCCCAUUGACCCCAUGUGGCUGCGCCAAUUUGUAAUUUUUGGUCAGAAAAGGCGCGCCGAUCGUAUUCCGCCCUCCACCCCAAAGAAAAAGGCCCAACAAUUGAUGAAGGUCUUGAACGAUGGGCGGUGCAAGUGAAAGUGGUGAAGGGUCAGCGAUCGCAGUUAUUUUCCGGGUACAGUUGCUUUUGCUCUGUCUCCGUCUUUAGCUCUAAAAUGUGGCAAUAAUGUAUACAUUUGCAUUGUUGUAGAGGCUUUUUGUGUUCGUUGCAAGACACUUGCUAGAGCAUAUAAAUGCUUUGCCAAUUUCUUUACUCUCUGAUACUUGAUUUUAAUGGGUUAUGGAUAAAUUGUGUGCUUUCUGAUAUUUGGGCAAAUUCCAUAUUGAACAAUGUGAAAUUCAUAGGCCAAAGAAUGAAAUUGAAAAUUUGAUAUUGAGGAAGACAGUGGAGAAAAAAAAAGGAAAAAAAAAGAUUUAUAUAAAUCUUUUCAAAGAAUAUUCACCUUCUUGCAGCAGAUUAUGUGCGUUGUCAUGCAGGAUAGGGGCAUAGUAGGGCCUUGCUCCUGAUCUCUUGGCUAUGUCUUCCUUUGAAUUAAAAUGGGUUGAUGGUAUUUCUUCCAUAUGCCUUUUGUGUUGACAAUGUUUACAUGGACUUUUUUGACACGUCUGGUGCUAAAAUCCGUUUUGAAAGGGAUGGUUGGUUGGUUGUUACGUCUGGUGCUACAAUAGAUGUUCGGAGCAAUAUCACUAUCCCCACUAGCAUUUAUUGUCUGGGUGGAUAAAAUCUGUCCAAAUUGAUUGGUUUUUUCUUUGUCCCCAAGGUGAUGGUUCUUGGUGUAUUCUACAGUAUACAACAAGGGAAUUGCUGUUCCAUGGAAUCAAGGACGUGAGAACAUCUUGGUGUGUUGGCUGGUUUUCAGUCCAUAGUUUUUACAAGAAAAAGGACGUUGGAAGCUCAAAUAUGGUUUGAUUAUUGGGUUGUGUCUCUUUGUGACGAAACUCAUACAUGCGAACAUGCUCUUUUUUCUUGAAUUCAGAGGUGUGCUAUUUGUUCUGUGGUGUCUGCAGAAGGCUACUUUCUGUUGAAUACAUUGUAUUUCGCCAUUAUUCUAGCUGCAUCUUACUAUUCAUAUGCACCAAACAAAGAAUAAAAUCCAGUGGUAUUUUCUGAAGUUCACUGGUGAAUGAAGUGUCUUCUAUUGGAAUUGGUAGUUAGGACUUUUCUGGGAGCAACUUUUAUAUUUGGAUAUUAAGAGAAUGAAGCACUGUUCCAUUCUGCUUAUGAACCGCCAACCCAGGUGGUUUGUCCUGGUGCCUGAGAGUUGAAUUGUUGUAGGUGUAUUUAUUUAAUUCAUGAAAUGUGAGUUUUAUAAAACUGUAAUUUGAGUGCUA